RNAcentral lists this transfer RNA (74 nucleotides) under Bacilli bacterium. RNAcentral's name for it is "tRNA-Thr". It matches the Rfam family "tRNA". From Rfam's summary of the family: Transfer RNA (tRNA) molecules are approximately 80 nucleotides in length. Their secondary structure includes four short double-helical elements and three loops (D, anti-codon, and T loops). Lineage: Bacteria; Bacillati; Bacillota; Bacilli. The record is from RNAcentral.
GCCUUUUUAGUUUAGAGGUAGAAUAAAUCUGUGGUAGUGAUUAGAUUUCGGUUCGAUUCCGAAAAAAGGCACCA